GAGAAGAUUCUAGAAUGUGAAGCCCUGGAGAAGGACCUGCCCUAUGCAGGUAGUGUAAAGAAGCAUCAGUGACGGCAAUUCUAAGCAUCAGUGACGGCAAUUCUAACCCGUAUUGGCUUAUUUGUUUGGAGGAUUGUCUGUCACCAGGCUCGGUGGCUGAUGCCUUUUUAUCUCUGCUUUCUCACCCUCUAGUCCAUCAACAAAUACAGAGAAAAAACACAGGACGCAGGAGAAGAGAGAAAUCAGAGAGAGAAGAUUAAUUAGCCAACAAGUCCAUCCUGCCAGUAACACCAUCUGACUUAAGAUACUAGGGUGCAGUUUGAAGCCAGAAAAAUCAAGAAGUUGAGAGCACACACAUACCUCUUCAGUUUUAAACCUGGCGUGGCUGUUGAAGUGCAUCCUUUCUUCCCUGGACUUCCUCGCCCCACUCGGGCAGCUAGGUUCAUGAGUUUGUUCCUCUGGCAGAAGUAACAACAAUAAAAUGCAUAAAAGACGCUGUGACUGAGUACCAAUUUCUCACAACCAGGGGCCAUGUGCUGCUGUAAUCAUAGGAGAUGGUUGUCAUUAAAAGUCCUCUAAGAGCCUGGCAGGUAGCUUUCCUGGGAGUCUCUCUAGGAGAGCAGAGCUGCUUCCGAGUCUCUGGUCUGCCUGGAAAUCACCCUUUCUCCAGUGAUCUUCUACUGAGUUGACUUGAAUCACAGCUGUUACAUGCUACACCUGUUACAUGCUAGCAUUGAAAAUAAUAAAAUGGUGAA
Molecule: long non-coding RNA, 755 nt
Organism: Talpa occidentalis (Iberian mole)
Lineage: Eukaryota; Metazoa; Chordata; Mammalia; Eulipotyphla; Talpidae
Exons: 5
Source: RefSeq, a predicted model, not a curated record